RNAcentral lists this ribosomal RNA (492 nucleotides) under uncultured bacterium. RNAcentral describes it as "partial 16S ribosomal RNA". It matches the Rfam family "Bacterial small subunit ribosomal RNA", at positions 29 to 507 of the family's 1533-position model. The record is from RNAcentral.
AGUGAACGCUGGCGGUAGGCCUAACACAUGCAAGUCGAACGGCAGCACAGUAAGAGCUUGCUCUUACGGGUGGCGAGUGGCGGACGGGUGAGGAAUACAUCGGAAUCUACUUUUUCGUGGGGGAUAACGUCGGGAAACUUACGCUAAUACCGCAUACGACCUACGGGUGAAAGCAGGGGAUCUUCGGACCUUGCGCGAUUGAAUGAGCCGAUGUCGGAUUAGCUAGCUGGCGGGGUAACGGCCCACCAAGGCGACGGUCCGUAGCUGGUCAGAGAGGAUGAUCAGCCACACUGGAACUGAGACACGGUCCAGACUCCUACUGGAGGCAGCAGUGGGGAAUAUUGGAAGAUAGGCGCAAGCAUGAUCCAGCCAUGCCGCGUAGGUGAAGAAGGCCUUCGGGUGUGAAAGCCCUUUUGUUGGGAAAGAAAAGCAGCAUGUUAAUACCCCGCUGUUCUGACGGUACCCGAAGAAUAAGCACCGGCUAACUUCGUG